This 404-nucleotide transfer-messenger RNA is filed under the name pig gut metagenome. It matches the Rfam family "transfer-messenger RNA". From Rfam's summary of the family: Bacterial tmRNA, also known as 10Sa RNA or SsrA, is named for its dual tRNA and mRNA-like properties. Its role is to liberate the mRNA from a stalled ribosome. The record is from RNAcentral.
GGGGAUGUUUUGGAUUUGACAAGAUGUUCGGUUUAAUCAGAUUGCGUGUUCGGGAGCUGUUCCCGAUUAUCAACGAGCAAAACAAAUUAAAUGCUACAGAUAACGUUGUAGUUGCUGAUUUCUCUAGAGCUGCUGCUCGUAGAGCUGCGUAGAGCUUAGCUCCGCAUUCAGCCUCUCAUAGUAUUCCAACUUGCCGAUGCUAUGGGACAAUUAUGCAAGUUGCAGUAUGAUGAUAGUAGUAGUCAUAUCAAGUUUACUACCGAAGGUUAGCUUUCCGUAAAAAAGCUUUGAUUAAGGUUCAGGUUUAGUGAGUUUCCUGCCUUGAUUAAGAUUAAUAAUUCGCUACACACGUAGAGAUUUGCUUAGAUCCAUUUUGGACGUGGGUUCGAUUCCCACCAUCUCCA